UACGGAGGGGCUAGCGUUGUUCGGAAUUACUGGGCGUAAAGCGCACGUAGGCGGCUUUGUAAGUUAGAGGUGAAAGCCCGGAGCUCAACUCCGGAAUUGCCUUUAGACUGCAUCGCUCGAAUCAUGGAGAGGUGGAGUGGGAAUUCCGAGUGUAGAGGUGAAAUUCGUAGAUAUUCGGAAGAACACCAGUGGCGAAGGCGA
RNAcentral lists this ribosomal RNA (201 nucleotides) under uncultured bacterium. Its description in RNAcentral is "partial 16S ribosomal RNA". It matches the Rfam family "Bacterial small subunit ribosomal RNA", at positions 524 to 724 of the family's 1533-position model. The record is from RNAcentral.